Molecule: ribosomal RNA, 109 nt
Filed under: Microtus ochrogaster (prairie vole)
Lineage: Eukaryota; Metazoa; Chordata; Mammalia; Rodentia; Cricetidae
Source: RNAcentral
AGCUAUGGCCAUACCACCCUGAACGCACCCGGUCUCAUCUGAUCUUGGAAGCUAAACAGGGUCGGGCCUGGUUAGUACUUGGAUGGGAGAAAUAAAGUAAUAAUAUCAG